CCCGGAGGAAGGCGCUCUGGAAGCGGCGGAAGGCUGGGUUGGCUGCAGCCGUCUGAGUCGGUUGAGGUGGGCUGAGACGACGCGCUGUGAGCUCAAGGCCAACACACAAGGCGAGCAGGACAAUUAUGGCAAGCUGUGCUCGCUGAACAAGUGGCUUGCUCAAGGGUCAAU
This is a long non-coding RNA of Phycodurus eques (leafy seadragon), 171 nucleotides long. RefSeq lists it as uncharacterized. The transcript is spliced from 2 exons. NCBI's taxonomy places the organism in Eukaryota, Metazoa, Chordata, Actinopteri, Syngnathiformes, Syngnathidae. The record is from RefSeq and is a predicted model, not a curated record.